This 246-nucleotide long non-coding RNA is filed under the name Lathyrus oleraceus (garden pea). Its description in RNAcentral is "Pisum sativum (pea) long non-coding RNA (PSAT_LNC000373)". Lineage: Eukaryota; Viridiplantae; Streptophyta; Magnoliopsida; Fabales; Fabaceae. The record is from RNAcentral.
GGGUAUAUUCUGGCUAGCUUUAGUUGGUGACUCUGUUGAGGACUGCAACCUAGUUGCAAGAAGGAGUUGAGCCUAUUUUUUAUUGCUUUCUUGUUUGUUUGGGUGUUUAUUUUCAUGUUUUUCUUGCUUUUAUCAUCAUUUUUGUUUAUUGCAUUUAUUUUAUUGCUUUAGAUAUUAAUUUGCUAACUCAUUCUGGAUAUUUGUAUUUUGUUGUUAUUGGGUUAAGCUGAUGUUACUUGAGAGAAG